GACGAACGCUGGCGGCGUGCUUAACACAUGCAAGUCGAGCGGUAAGGCUCCCGCGGGAGUACACGAGCAGCGAACGGGAGAGUAACACGAACGUAAGAUUCACCUGACUUCGGGAUAACCACAGGAGAAGGUAGCUAAUACCGAAUAGGACCAGUCUGCGCCUGAUGUGUGGGGGGAAAGUGUUUGCGGUGGAGGAGGUGCGCGCGGGCUUUCAGCCUGUUGGGGGGGUAAUGGCCUACGAAGGCUUCGACGGGUGGCCGGCCUGAGAGGGUGAACGGCCACACUGGGACUGGGACACGGCCCAGACUCCUGGGGGCGGCAGCGGUGGGGAAUAUUGGAGAGUGAGCGAAAGCCUGCUCCAGCGACGCCGCGUGGGGGGUGACGGCGUUCGGGUUGUAAACCUCUUUCAGUACCGACGAAGCGCCCUGUCGGGUGGUGACGGUAGGUACAGAAGAAGGGCCGGCCAACUACGUG
This 474-nucleotide ribosomal RNA is filed under the name uncultured bacterium. RNAcentral describes it as "partial 16S ribosomal RNA". It matches the Rfam family "Bacterial small subunit ribosomal RNA", at positions 28 to 507 of the family's 1533-position model. The record is from RNAcentral.